ACACCCUCAAGCUCUGCUUGGUGUUGGGCGUCUGUCCCGCCUCUGCGCGUGGACUCGCCCCAAAGUCAUUGGCAGCGGUCGUGCCAGCUUCUCGUGCAGCACAUUGCGCUUCUUGAAGCCCUGGUGGAUCAGCGUCCAGCAAGCCUUUCUAUA
Molecule: unclassified non-coding RNA, 153 nt
Filed under: uncultured Sydowia
Lineage: Eukaryota; Fungi; Ascomycota; Dothideomycetes; Dothideales; Dothioraceae
Description: sequence contains ITS2
Source: RNAcentral